Molecule: transfer RNA, 73 nt
Filed under: Acidimicrobiaceae bacterium
Lineage: Bacteria; Bacillati; Actinomycetota; Acidimicrobiia; Acidimicrobiales; Acidimicrobiaceae
Description: tRNA-Val
Rfam family: tRNA
About the family: Transfer RNA (tRNA) molecules are approximately 80 nucleotides in length. Their secondary structure includes four short double-helical elements and three loops (D, anti-codon, and T loops).
Source: RNAcentral
GGGCGGUUAGCUCAGUCGGAAGAGUGCCACGUUCACAUCGUGGAAGUCAUGGGAUCGAGGCCCAUAUCGCCCA